Vicia faba (fava bean) is the source of this 324-nucleotide non-coding RNA. The record is from the annotation of a GenBank genome assembly. Lineage: Eukaryota; Viridiplantae; Streptophyta; Magnoliopsida; Fabales; Fabaceae.
AUGGCCUUUGAUGGAUGCUGUCCUGAUUGUAAACUUCCUGGGGAUGACUGCCCGUUGAUUUGGGGUGUGUGCAAUCAUGCAUUUCAUUUGCAUUGUAUCUUGAAAUGGGUGAAUUCUCAAACCUCACAAGCACAUUGCCCUAUGUGCCGUCGGGAAUGGCAAUUUAAAGAUUACAGAAGACAAGGGCAACUUGUUGGAGAAAAAGAAAUCUCAGAACAUUACAAAUGUUAUUUACAACCAAUGGAGGAAGAGUUCAUAAUAUAUCAAAUGGCAACAUUAAAGAAGGCUAUAACAAUGUCAACAUUAACAUUGUGUCAAAGCUAA